Molecule: unclassified non-coding RNA, 344 nt
Filed under: soil metagenome
Description: partial contains 5.8S ribosomal RNA, internal transcribed spacer 2, and large subunit ribosomal RNA
Rfam family: 5.8S ribosomal RNA (bases 1-120)
Source: RNAcentral
GAUGAAGAACGUAGCGAAAUGCGAUAAGUAAUGUGAAUUGCAGAAUUCAGUGAAUCAUCGAAUCUUUGAACGCACAUUGCGCCCGCCAGCAUUCUGGCGGGCAUGCCUGUUCGAGCGUCAUUUCAACCCUCGACUUCCCUUUGGGGAAAUCGGCGUUGGGGACUGGCAGCAUACCGCCGGCCCCGAAAUGGAGUGGCGGCCCGUCCGCGGCGACCUCUGCGUAGUAAUCCAACCUCGCACCGGAACCCCGACGUGGCCACGCCGUAAAACACCCCACUUUCUGAACGUUGACCUCGGAUCAGGUAGGAAUACCCGCUGAACUUAAGCAUAUCAUAAGCGGAGGA